Long non-coding RNA from Neofelis nebulosa (Clouded leopard), 1747 nucleotides. RefSeq lists it as uncharacterized. The record is from RefSeq and is a predicted model, not a curated record. Lineage: Eukaryota; Metazoa; Chordata; Mammalia; Carnivora; Felidae. The transcript has 2 exons.
AGCUCAGCUCAGUGCAUGUUCUGGCUUCCAGCUUCCCUCCUGAGCACCUGGUGGCUGUCGGUUUACUGUGACCUCACUGCCAUUAUAUCUGCCUGGGCUUCAUUUGCAGCAUCUCACCAGGGCUGCCAGGAUCCAUCUCCCAGGCAAGGCUUUCUCCACAGAGGCUGCUGGGCCAGCAGGAGAGGAGACCUCCGAUCCAUCUGUCAGCAUGGAAAAGAAUGCCUCCUGGCUCAAGCCUAAAGUGAAAAUGCCUGGCGCUUAGCCAAAGUCAGGUGGCUUGAGAAAGACAGUGAAAACGCCGGGCAACCCCCCCCCCCCCCCCCGGCCUUCAGGGGUAAAGCGGAGGAGACCCCACACCCAAAAUCGGCAACUCCAACUCCAAGGAUCAGCGGUGCCCCUGCUCCUGUCAAAACAGAAAACGCCCGUGGCAACCGGCAAGUGUGGCCUGAAACUGCAGAGUGUGUGUUUAAUAAAACAAGGGUGGCUCAUUGAUAGAGUCGCCCCAGCGAGCGUCUGGCCGGGCGCCCGCGAGGCAGCAGGUCCUGGGCGGGGGGAGGGGGGGGCGGCUCGGGCUGGAGCUGAGCUGGCUGGGUUUGCCUGCGGGGAGGAGCCGCUGCCGCCCGCACGCCUGCAGCCCCCCUCCGCCCCCGCCCCGGGCGAUGCGGCCUUGGACUUCUGACCCGCAGGUGCGCAGUCAGCCUCCUGGCCCUCACUCAGCGGGAGGAGGUCCAUCUCUCUUCUCACUGCCCGCUGCCCCGCAGGACUGGGCGGUGUUUUCUGGAGCAGUCAAAAAUGAUCCUCUCCCAGCCCCGGGAGGUGGGGGGUGGGGGGCGGGGGGCGGGGGGUUGCUCCCGUGAAUUGCCUCUGUGCUGUUUCCCCCUUCCUCUUUCUCUCUCAGGAUUAGUGUGGUGAGGGGUAGGAGGAGGAGUUGCCAUCUAAAAAUUUUUGAAAAUAACUUUUAGGGCAACAUCGUGCCAAGUGUGCAGCCCAAUAGCCCCCAUUUUAUAGAUGAGGACACUGAGGUCCAGUGAGAUCAGAUUUGAAGUCAUGCUGCUGGGAGCUGCCAAGCCAGGUAGAGAACCCUGGUGCCCACAUUCACAAUUGUUUUCCCUUCUUUAACACCCACUGAGGCAAAAUGUUGAUUUUUUUUCUCAGUUACGAAGAAUUGUUAAAAUUUGACAGCUGGGGGGUUAGGGAGUGAGCCAAAAGGCCUUUCAAUAUUAAAGCGAUGUUUUAAGCAAAUCUGGGGGUCUUCUGGCUCUCCACUGGAAGGUAACUUUGACUUCAUAUUUACUAUCAGUUGGAGUCCAGGCAUGCAUAACUCUGUAAAAUUAGAUGACGUUGUGUAGUAACUGCUAAAAUGUAAAUGACUUUCCGGUUCAGUAGAGAGGCAAAUGAUUUCUAUCUGGUAUAAAAAAAUAACCCCAAAGGUUAUGGUUUUGUUUGUUGCCCCAUAGGACAUUAACCAGCUUUGAAUCUAACUUUGUGGUCUUCAGCAUUCCUUUUUGUUCUUUACGUGCACAAAAAUCUUUGUUCCCAUGUUGUAAACCAGCUUUCUUACCCUGAGGAUUCUCUCAGUAAUGGAUUAAUUAAAUCAUCGACACAUACUCAUCAUCCCUUGUCAAGGCUUCAUGUUCCUCUUGCUCUAGAGUCCCCCUCAAUCCCCUAUCAGCUGAAGUACACACUCAACACCCAUUGCCGAUUUUCACAUGACAUCAGGGGGCACCUGGGAUACAUGCUCCCCAAC